GAGGAUAUUGGGAGGAGUCCAAGGCUAUCCAC
RNAcentral lists this non-coding RNA (32 nucleotides) under Homo sapiens (human). Lineage: Eukaryota; Metazoa; Chordata; Mammalia; Primates; Hominidae. The record is from RNAcentral.